RNAcentral lists this transfer RNA (77 nucleotides) under Pseudomonas phage M5.1. RNAcentral describes it as "tRNA-Glu". It matches the Rfam family "tRNA". Rfam says of the family: Transfer RNA (tRNA) molecules are approximately 80 nucleotides in length. Their secondary structure includes four short double-helical elements and three loops (D, anti-codon, and T loops). The record is from RNAcentral. Lineage: Duplodnaviria; Heunggongvirae; Uroviricota; Caudoviricetes; Vandenendeviridae.
GGCCUUAUCGUCUACUCGGUUUAGGAUUCCUGACUUUCAAUCAGGGGAAGAGGGUUCGAAUCCCUCUAAGGCUACCA